UACGAAGGAUCCAAGCGUUGUCCGGAAUCACUGGGCGUAAAGGGCGCGUAGGUGGCCUGUGGAAGUCUGCGGUGAAAGCCCGGCGCUCAACGCCGGGUCGGCCGUGGAUACUCUCGGGCUCGAGCUUACUAGAGGCAGAUGGAAUUCCGGGUGUAGCGGUGGAAUGCGUAGAGAUCCGGAAGAACACCGGUGGCGAAGGCGGUCUGCUGGGGUAAUGCUGACACUGAUGCGCGACAGCGUGGGGGAGCAAACAGG
RNAcentral lists this ribosomal RNA (255 nucleotides) under uncultured bacterium. RNAcentral describes it as "partial 16S ribosomal RNA". It matches the Rfam family "Bacterial small subunit ribosomal RNA", at positions 524 to 776 of the family's 1533-position model. The record is from RNAcentral.